RNAcentral lists this transfer RNA (72 nucleotides) under Chloroflexi bacterium 13_1_40CM_68_21. Its description in RNAcentral is "tRNA-Met". It matches the Rfam family "tRNA". From Rfam's summary of the family: Transfer RNA (tRNA) molecules are approximately 80 nucleotides in length. Their secondary structure includes four short double-helical elements and three loops (D, anti-codon, and T loops). Further hydrogen bonds mediate the characteristic L-shaped molecular structure. tRNAs have two regions of fundamental functional importance: the anti-codon, which is responsible for specific mRNA codon recognition, and the 3' end, to which the tRNAs corresponding amino acid is attached (by aminoacyl-tRNA synthetases). tRNAs cope with the degeneracy of the genetic code in two manners: having more than one tRNA (with a specific anti-codon) for a particular amino acid; and 'wobble' base-pairing, i.e. permitting non-standard base-pairing at the 3rd anti-codon position. RNAcentral also lists the same sequence under 3 other names. Lineage: Bacteria; Bacillati; Chloroflexota. The record is from RNAcentral.
UGCGGGAUGGAGCAGCGGUAGCUCGACGGGCUCAUAACCCGUAGGUCGUUGGUUCGAAUCCAACUCCCGCAA